Molecule: ribosomal RNA, 1098 nt
Filed under: Vibrio sp. EPA-9
Lineage: Bacteria; Pseudomonadati; Pseudomonadota; Gammaproteobacteria; Vibrionales; Vibrionaceae
Description: bacterial SSU rRNA
Rfam family: Bacterial small subunit ribosomal RNA
Source: RNAcentral
UGCAAGUCGAGCGGUAACAGAAAGAAAGCUUGCUUUCUUUGCUGACGAGCGGCGGACGGGUGAGUAAUGCCUGGGAAAUUGCCUUGAUGUGGGGGAUAACCAUUGGAAACGAUGGCUAAUACCGCAUAAUGCCUUCGGGCCAAAGAGGGGGACCUUCGGGCCUCUCGCGUCAAGAUAUGCCCAGGUGAGAUUAGCUUGUUGGUGAGGUAAGAGCUCACCAAGGCGACGAUCUCUAGCUGGUCUGAGAGGAUGAUCAGCCACAUUGGGACUGAGACACGGCCCAAACUCCUACGGGAGGCAGCAGUGGGGAAUAUUGCACAAUGGGCGCAAGCCUGAUGCAGCCAUGCCGCGUGUAUGAAGAAGGCCUUCGGGUUGUAAAGUACUUUCAGCAGUGAGGAAGGGGUGAUGUUUAAUAGACAYCAUUCUUGACGUUAGCUGCAGAAGAAGCACCGGCUAACUCCGUGCCAGCAGCCGCGGUAAUACGGAGGGUGCGAGCGUUAAUCGGAAUUACUGGGCGUAAAGCGCAUGCAGGUGGUCUGUUAAGUCAGAUGUGAAAGCCCGAGGCUUAACCUCGGAAUAGCAUUUGAAACUGGCAGGCUAGAGUACUGUAGAGGGGGGUAGAAUUUCAGGUGUAGCGGUGAAAUGCGUAGAGAUCUGAAGGAAUACCAGUGGCGAAGGCGGCCCCCUGGACAGAUACUGACACUCAGAUGCGAAAGCGUGGGGAGCAAACAGGAUUAGAUACCCUGGUAGUCCACGCCGUAAACGAUGUCUACUUGGAGGUUGUGGCCUUGAGCCGUGGCUUUCGGAGCUAACGCGUUAAGUAGACCGCCUGGGGAGUACGGUCGCAAGAUUAAAACUCAAAUGAAUUGACGGGGGCCCGCACAAGCGGUGGAGCAUGUGGUUUAAUUCGAUGCAACGCGAAGAACCUUACCUACUCUUGACAUCCAGAGAACUUAGCAGAGAUGCUUUGGUGCCUUCGGGAACUCUGAGACAGGUGCUGCAUGGCUGUCGUCAGCUCGUGUUGUGAAAUGUUGGGUUAAGUCCCGCAACGAGCGCAACCCUUAUCCUUGAUUGCCAGCACUUCCGGUGGGAACUUCA